GACGUAGGGCGCGAGCGUUGUCCGGAUUGAUUGGGCGUAAAGAGCUCGUAGGCGGCUCGUUGCGUCGGCUGUGAAAACCCGCAGCUCAACUGUGGGCCUGCAGCUGAUACGGGCGGGCUGGAGUUCGGUAGGGGAGACUGGAAUUCCUGGUGUAGCGGUGAAAUGCGCAGAUAUCAGGAGGAACACCGGUGGCGAAGGCGGGUCUCUGGGCCGAUACUGACGCUGAGGAGCGAAGGCGUGGGGAGCGAACAGG
This 253-nucleotide ribosomal RNA is filed under the name uncultured bacterium. RNAcentral's name for it is "partial 16S ribosomal RNA". It matches the Rfam family "Bacterial small subunit ribosomal RNA", at positions 524 to 776 of the family's 1533-position model. The record is from RNAcentral.